CUUGCCUACGGGACGCAGCAGUGAGGAAUAUUGGUCAAUGGACGAGAGUCUGAACCAGCCAAGUAGCGUGAAGGAUGACUGCCCUAUGGGUUGUAAACUUCUUUUAUAUGGGAAUAAAAUGUUCCACGUGUGGGAUUUUGUAUGUACCAUAUGAAUAAGGAUCGGCUAACUCCGUGCCAGCAGCCGCGGUAAUACAGAGGAUCUGCGCGUUAUCCGGAUUUAUUGGGUUUAAAGGGAGCGUAGGUGGAUUGUUAAGUCAGUUGUGAAAGUUUGCUGCUCAACCGUAAAAUUGCAGUUGAAACUGG
This 305-nucleotide ribosomal RNA is filed under the name uncultured bacterium. RNAcentral describes it as "bacterial SSU rRNA". It matches the Rfam family "Bacterial small subunit ribosomal RNA", at positions 334 to 636 of the family's 1533-position model. The record is from RNAcentral.